This 468-nucleotide ribosomal RNA is filed under the name uncultured bacterium. Its description in RNAcentral is "partial 16S ribosomal RNA". It matches the Rfam family "Bacterial small subunit ribosomal RNA", at positions 28 to 507 of the family's 1533-position model. The record is from RNAcentral.
GACGAACGCUGGCGGCGUGCCUAACACAUGCAAGUCGAACGGACAGGCCCUGCUCUUGUGGGGUGCUCGAGUGGCGAACGGGUGAGUAACACGUGAGUAACCUGCCCUUGACUUUGGGAUAACUUCAGGAAACUGGGGCUAAUACCGCAUAGGAGCUCCUGCUGCAUGGUGGGGGUUGGAAAGUUUCGGCGGUUGGGGAUGGUCUCGCGGCUUCUCAGCUUGUUGGUGGGGUAGUGGCUUACCAAGGCUGUGACGGGUAGCCGGCCUGAGAGGGUGACCGGCGACCAGGGUACUAAGGGAGGGCGCAGACUCCUACGGGAGGCAGCGGUGGAGAGUAUUGCGGAGUAGGCGGAAGCCUGAGACAGAGGCGCCGCGUGCGGGAUGACGGGCUUCGGGGUAUAAACCGCUUUCGACUGAAACGAAGCGUGAGUGACGGUAAUGGGUAAAAAAGCAACGGCUAACUACGUG